RNAcentral lists this transfer RNA (64 nucleotides) under Siphlonurus aestivalis. Its description in RNAcentral is "tRNA-Thr". It matches the Rfam family "tRNA". From Rfam's summary of the family: Transfer RNA (tRNA) molecules are approximately 80 nucleotides in length. Their secondary structure includes four short double-helical elements and three loops (D, anti-codon, and T loops). The record is from RNAcentral. Lineage: Eukaryota; Metazoa; Arthropoda; Insecta; Ephemeroptera; Siphlonuridae.
GUUUUAAUAGUUUAAGGAAAACAUUGGUCUUGUAAAUCAAUAAUGAGGCCCGCCUCUUAAAACU